This 253-nucleotide ribosomal RNA is filed under the name uncultured bacterium. RNAcentral's name for it is "partial 16S ribosomal RNA". It matches the Rfam family "Bacterial small subunit ribosomal RNA", at positions 524 to 776 of the family's 1533-position model. The record is from RNAcentral.
UACGUAGGGGGCUAGCGUUGUCCGGAAUCAUUGGGCGUAAAGCGCGUGUAGGCGGUUCGGUAAGUCCGCUGUGAAAGUCGGGGGCUCAACCCUCGAAUGCCGGUGGAUACUGUCGGGCUAGAGUACGGAAGAGGCGAGUGGAAUUCCUGGUGUAGCGGUGGAAUGCGCAGAUAUCAGGAGGAACACCGAUGGCGAAGGCAGCUCGCUGGGACGGUACUGACGCUGAGGCGCGAAAGCGUGGGGAGCGAACAGG